This 685-nucleotide ribosomal RNA is filed under the name Salmonella enterica subsp. enterica serovar Brandenburg. RNAcentral describes it as "partial 23S ribosomal RNA". It matches the Rfam family "Bacterial large subunit ribosomal RNA", at positions 568 to 1191 of the family's 2925-position model. Lineage: Bacteria; Pseudomonadati; Pseudomonadota; Gammaproteobacteria; Enterobacterales; Enterobacteriaceae. The record is from RNAcentral.
CCACAUACGCAUCCUUUGCUGAGGAUACGGUUAACGGAGCGAAAGCGACGUUCAACCGCAAAAGAAGCAGAGGGGGCUUAGUGGUGGGGUGACUGCGUACCUUUUGUAUAAUGGGUCAGCGACUUAUAUUCUGUAGCAAGGUUAACCGUAUAGGGGAGCCGGAGGGAAACCGAGUCUUAAUUGGGCGUUAAGUUGCAGGGUAUAGACCCGAAACCCGGUGAUCUAGCCAUGGGCAGGUUGAAGGUUGGGUAACACUAACUGGAGGACCGAACCGACUAAUGUUGAAAAAUUAGCGGAUGACCUGUGGCUGGGGGUGAAAGGCCAAUCAAACCGGGAGAUAGCUGGUUCUCCCCGAAAGCUAUUUAGGUAGCGCCUCGUGAAUUCAUCUCCGGGGGUAGAGCACUGUUUCGGCUAGGGGGCCAUCCCGGCUUACCAACCCGAUGCAAACUGCGAAUACCGGAGAAUGUUAUCACGGGAGACACACGGCGGGUGCUAACGUCCGUCGUGAAGAGGGAAACAACCCAGACCGCCAGCUAAGGUCCCAAAGUCAUGGUUAAGUGGGAAACGAUGUGGGAAGGCCCAGACAGCCAGGAUGUUGGCUUAGAAGCAGCCAUCAUUUAAAGAAAGCGUAAUAGCUCACUGGUCGAGUCGGCCUGCGCGGAAGAUGUAACGGGGCUAAACCAUG